Molecule: long non-coding RNA, 732 nt
Organism: Drosophila willistoni
Lineage: Eukaryota; Metazoa; Arthropoda; Insecta; Diptera; Drosophilidae
Exons: 2
Source: RefSeq, a predicted model, not a curated record
UUUAUGAGAAGCUAAGAAAAAAACAAUCUCUCUUCACUUUGUCAGAAAAUCACUCUAUCUAACGAGACAUAAAAAACUUCAAUCUUACCUAGACAUCUACUAUAAAUUUGUCAAAUGCUCAACGAUAAAAAUUUACCUGUAUAUAAUACCUGUAUUUAUAACAGGAUGAAAGUUUUAGUGCUUUGUUUCGUAUUUUCCUUCCUCAUCUUGCAACUCGCAUUGGCCUAUAACGAAAAAAAAUGUGAUGAUGCGCCAAGUGAAGUGGGUCCUUGCAAGGCUUCAUUUCAAAUGUGGCGCUAUAUAAAGGAAAUCAACGCAUGUGAGGAAUUUAUCUAUGGCGGCUGCCGAGGGACACGAAAUUUAUUUGAUAGCGAAAAGGAUUGCAUUAAACAAUGCCUGAGUUAGGCUACAAAACUGGGGGGGAAACUGAAUUCAAAAUUCGACAUUUCACUAGCGAUACGAGACAAAAAGUUAAUCUAAAAGUUGCCAGACUGCAAAUGCAAAAAGUUGGCCGAAUGCGAAAAAAUAUGAUUUGUCUGCAAAGUUAAAACAGAUUCUCAGCAAGAAUCUUUUCGCAUUUAAAUUAACUACCGGUGAUUUAUGGAUGAUAGAGUUUAAGAAAUUUCGAUUUACAUUGUGUUCAUACAUAUAUAUUUUUUCUUUUGGUUUUUCGCAAUAAAUUCUCUGUUUUCACUGCUGAUGGGCCAGAACCAAUCGAAAACAGUUAAAGAA